UGGAACAAUCAAGUUACCUUGAUUGUGCUGGAGCUUGUAAGAUCUCAAAAGCUAAACAGGUUUGAGCCUGGAUAAUACUUGGAUGGAGGACUGCUUGGGAAUGUUAGGCAUUAUAGGAC
This 119-nucleotide ribosomal RNA is filed under the name Petromyzon marinus (sea lamprey). The record is from RNAcentral. Lineage: Eukaryota; Metazoa; Chordata; Hyperoartia; Petromyzontiformes; Petromyzontidae.